AUUUGUAUGACUUGGUUCGUGUUCAGAAUCAACCUUGGAGCUAGCUGAAAAUUGAGUAUACUAACCAUUAGCUGAGGUGAUUCGACCGGACAAGUAUUAGAUUGGUUAUAGACCAAUGGAUGAUGAUAUUAUUCCGCUGCGUAUGUGUUGUAUUGAUCUAAGCUAGGAAAGACUAUGGUAGUCUUGAGCUAAGAUCUGAGUUAGCCCUCGCAUAUGGGCGAUGUUUUAAAUAAAGGUCAAAAAUUUUGAGAGGUUCGGUCAGGGUAUCGACCGAGCGACGUGAGGCAUCGACCGCGGCCUUGUCGGCCAGGAUCGGGUCUUACAAGUUGGUAUCAGAGCAUGCUUAAUCCUGUUACGGACAGUGCUCAAGGAUGCUGAGUUCCAAACCGAAAUUAUUUCUGAAAACUAUGAUGACUUGGA
Molecule: long non-coding RNA, 420 nt
Filed under: Brassica napus (rape)
Lineage: Eukaryota; Viridiplantae; Streptophyta; Magnoliopsida; Brassicales; Brassicaceae
Description: long non-coding RNA (BNAP_LNC023426)
Source: RNAcentral